Molecule: ribosomal RNA, 501 nt
Filed under: uncultured bacterium
Lineage: Bacteria
Description: partial 16S ribosomal RNA
Rfam family: Bacterial small subunit ribosomal RNA
Source: RNAcentral
AUUGAACGCUGGCGGCAUGCCUUACACAUGCAAGUCGAACGGCAGCACGGGAGCAAUCCUGGUGGCGAGUGGCGAACGGGUGAGUAAAGUAUCGGAACGUGCCCAGUCGUGGGGGAUAACGUAGCGAAAGUUACGCUAAUACCGCACACGAUCUAUGGAUGAAAGCGGGGGAUCGCAAGACCUCGCGCGAUUGGAGCGGCCGAUAUCAGAUUAGGUAGUUGGUGGGGUAAAGGCUCACCAAGCCGACGAUCUGUAGCUGGUCUGAGAGGACGACCAGCCACACUGGGACUGAGACACGGCCCAGACUCCUACGGGAGGCAGCAGUGGGGAAAUUUGGGACAAUGGGCGAAAGCCUGAUCCAGCCAUGCUGCGUGCAGGAUGAAGGCCUUCGGGUUGUAAACUGCUUUUGUACGGAACGAAAAGGUUUGGCCUAAUAAGCUGAGCUCAUGACGGUACCGUAAGAAUAAGCACCGGCUAACUACGUGCCAGCAGCCGCCGUAA